This 375-nucleotide ribosomal RNA is filed under the name Triticum aestivum (bread wheat). RNAcentral describes it as "partial small subunit ribosomal RNA". The record is from RNAcentral. Lineage: Eukaryota; Viridiplantae; Streptophyta; Magnoliopsida; Poales; Poaceae.
AUGAAAGGGAAGAAUCUGGGAACGCAGAAACAGAGAGAGACAGAUCCAAUCUCGGAGGGGCUCUCGCCCCUCCCAUGCCAUGGAGGCCAAGGACCAGAGGGGAAACCCUUCUCCCAUCUAGGGAGGAGGUCAAGGAAGAAGAAGAAGGACGGGGCUCUCUCUCCCUCGAUUCCGGUGGCGCUGGAGUGCCACCGGGGGACAUCAUCAUCACCGCAAUCUUCACCAACAACUUCACCGCCAUCAUCACCAACUCUUCCCCCCUCUAUGCAGCGGUGUAACCUCUCUCUUACCCACUGUAAUCUCUACUUAAACAUGGUGCUCAACGCUAUAUAUUAUUUCCCAAUGAUAUAUGGCUAUCCUAUGAUGUUUGAGUAG